Molecule: long non-coding RNA, 3571 nt
Organism: Bombus impatiens (common eastern bumble bee)
Lineage: Eukaryota; Metazoa; Arthropoda; Insecta; Hymenoptera; Apidae
Exons: 5
Source: RefSeq, a predicted model, not a curated record
AUCGUUCGCUAUCUUUUUUAUUAAGCUAACGAGAGGCAUCGUCAAUUUUCCUUUUGUUUCCUUUUUCUCUUUGGAUAAUCGCGUGCGACGUUUGUUACGCUGCGAUUCCACCGGUAAACAACGGAAGAAUUAUUAUGUACCGUUUCUGCGAUAAUUAGUCGAUACGUAUUCGUGAGAUAGAAAUCCGGAAAUUCAAUAGCAACUAACGAUCACUCGUGGAUUACGAAUGUAACGAUUUACGAUAAAAAUGUAUUACACGUGUUUCUAGUGUUGCAAGCAGCUUUGAAACGUGCAUCGAUAAUAUCGCUGAUCGCCUCAAAUGGGACGUCAAGUACUAAAACAGUGCCGACCUAUCGCUUUAAAUUCAAUGGUGUGACAUAAAAAUAAUUUCCUCCUCGAUUGGAUGAGAUCGACGCGAACGAGACGCGAAAGGAAAGCGAAUUAAAUAAAUAAGUAGGUCGUAAAUUCUCGGAAGCGUUAUGCAUCCGAGGCACCGGCAGAUUUCGCUAAAUCAAGCGCAAUUACCGAUCCGUCGUCUCGUCUGAACCUGCAAUUCCCCCAUUGCCCUUACCUUCGCAACGAUUCCAGUUCCUACCCUGGAAUCACUCAAUCCCCGUUUACCUCUCCCGUUCGCGCAAUGUUUGCGCGCAGUCAUGGCACCAGCAAAGUGGCCCUAUCAAUAUUAAUCGCAAUAUUUGCCUGGCAUGCUCUUCGUCGCACUCUCUAUUACCAAUUAAUCCGGUCGUGCGAAGUAUGCUGCGAACGAGCAGAUAGGCCAUAACGCGCGAGAUGAAGCGAGGGAACGAGAGAGUAAGAGUGACCAGGGGACAAAUAAAAAUGAUGGAAGAAGAAAGACGGACAGAGAGGAAGAGAAAGAACGGGUGAGACAGUGAGACGGUGAAGGGGAAAGCGAGAGGGGCCAGAGAGAAAGAGAGAGAAACGACUCGUUGACGGGUUAGAUAUUGUGUCAGCCGAGUCGUCCAGCAUUAAAAGUAAUUACGACGUGAUUGACCGAGGGCCCGUUGGCCGAGGGUGAGGCGACGCCGAGGGGAAGGCUAAAUCAUCGGAGUGACGCACGUAGCUCGUUGUUGCCUCCCAAUUAUACAAUCAGCGAGACCAAGCAGAGGAGAAGCGAGAGGGAAAAACCGAAAGAUAGACGGAGAGUGGGAAGGCCAGCCCGUGCAGCAGAAGAAAGAAGCAAAGAAUAUACUUGGAUCUUGUAUCUCGUGACGGACGAAAGACGAGAAGAGACGGUGGCGGAAUUACGUCAGGAACGUAGUGGGGCAGUCGUGGUCGUUCGAGUCGGCGAAGAUCGGUGCCAUCGCAACGAUAAUUGCCAACCGGAACCACUAGCGCGACCGGGGAUGGAACGACCAUCUCUCGAACAUCGACUUUUCACAGCUACUUUCAAGGACAACGUUUGGUACGCGUAAACGUUACAGAUUCGAGGGAAGGUGUUUGAAUCCGCCCCUGUGCAAGACGAGAAGAAGAGGAAGACGGACGAAGGAAGAUGGACCGAUCGCGAUCGUUAUCGUCUAUUAUAAAGUCGAGUAAGUUGGCCUGUGAUGCAGCUGCCGUUUUGUACGGCGAUGACGACGGUGGUUUAUAAGUCGUGAUCUAGAAACAAAUGAGCCAUUGUGGAGGACAAUCGUUCCGUUAAGGACGGGAGGAGGGCCAAAUAGGCGUGAAGAAUCGAACGACCGAGCUGGCAAGAAGAAGUAAUCGAUUUCGAGAUGGUUUCCGUCGUACUGCGACGACGUCUAAUCCAACCGUUGCAAAAGGAAAACACAUUUCGCGCUCGAACACCUCCCAAGUGCUACGCGCUACCAUUCUUCAUCCGUUUAACGUUUGUUCCUCUCCGCGAAUCAACGUGCGAGCUUCACUUAAACGUUUCUAUUCUUACGUUACUUUUCCACCAAAUUGAUCCUGUGAUAUCGAAAUAACAAAGAAACAAACUUGGACGAAAGUACUAAAACUGUUCGGCUAGAUAUAAAAAGCGAGCCGAAGAAUGCUAAGAACAACGAAACGAAAUUGAACGAUACCACACCUGUACUCAAUUAGGUCGAGUAUUUAACAGGUUUCCCGCGCGACCAAACGACGAACGAUGGAACACACAGAGAAGCGAGGAGAAGGAAGUGAGCGCAGAACGAUCCAGAGCAACGGAACCAGUAGAAAUCUCUCGCUACCUUUUCCAGACCUCCAGCGGCGCAGCGAUCGAAAACGAUCGAAUAGACCAAGGAACCGUACGACGUUUCGCGGAACACAACGGCUCGUAAGCGGCCGUCGUGCAGGCGUUAAAGAUCUGAUGCCCACUAAUGACGAAGUCUUGUGUUCACGUGUUGACACUAACUGAUCACGAAAAGGAGGACGAAGAAGUGUCAAUGAUUGCUUCGCUGUGUCAUCCUGUCCGUUUGAUAAAUGGCUGGAAAUAUCGGAGAGAAUAGGGUACCGAGAAAUCAAGCGUCCGAUAGAAGAAUCUCCGGACGGAUCCGAACAAGGGCUGGUCGUGCAGGCGUUAAGGAUCCGAUGACGCUAAUGACGAGGCCAUGUGUCCGCAUAUUGACGCUAACUGGACUGACCGCGAAGAAGGAAAGCAAGAAGGAUACGAAAGAAGAAGCAGAAGAAGAGAAGAAAGAUAAAAGGGGAAGAGGUGGCGAUGGUUUGCAGUACCACGAGUAGAGUAGAAGACCGGUGUGCACGGAGGUAACGGAGGUAACAAACGUCUCCUCGAGGCCUCGAGUGUGGUAGAAAGGCGGAGGAGGGAGGGCCGCGGCAAAGGGUUCUUCCGAGAGUUAGUCCGCAGAGGUGAGAGGCAGAUCGUCUCGCGAGAAGGACCGCGCUCGAGGGAGAAGGAAGAUGAGAAAGCCCCAGGCUCGAGCCCAGCACCUCAUUACCCGAUAAUUUACUACGCGAGUAAUUAACUGGGCACACAAACGGUGCCACGUUAUAUACACCCUGCGCGCAUAUAUACGCCUCGACGACUCUUCCCUGGCUCUUUUCGAUUCUGCAGGCUCAUAUAUUACCGGUGUCGCGUCCUCCUGCCGAUCUAUUUAUCCAUUCGUCUGUACGUGAUGAACCUUCGACGUGCGAGUGCACGUAGGUAUUUCCAAAGACCAGUCUGACGAUAAUCGCUUAAACGAUAGAAAAUGAGACGACAGAGACGGAACCGUGUGCGGAACAUCGCCACGGAAUCGUACGCAGUUCGGUGCACCGUGUUUCUUUCGUUCGCACGGUUAUAAAUGCGACGCGAUAUUCCUCGUUCGCGCCUAACGUGUUGUAUGCUUACAAAGCACCGGCAAACGAGUGUAUAUAUCGGGGGAUAUCGUAUGUUACGAAAGAAAGUAUCAAUCGAAUCCUCGUUACGUGUGGUACACGCUUGUUUCAUGAUCUAUACGCUGUGUUAGCCAUUCUUCUGUAUUUGUACUUUUUAACGCAACGUUACAGGCAGGUACACUUAGUCCGAUAUUACCUAACAAUGUCUCUCUGAAUCUCGUGAGAAGCUUUAACAUUUAUCUGGGAAUUUACGACCAUUUACCUUACCUGCUUGUCAUAAAUAAGUUUGUGCAAGUCA